This 156-nucleotide non-coding RNA is filed under the name [Kluyvera] intestini. RNAcentral describes it as "Kluyvera intestini TPP sequence". It matches the Rfam family "TPP riboswitch aptamer (THI element)". From Rfam's summary of the family: Vitamin B(1) in its active form thiamin pyrophosphate (TPP) is an essential coenzyme that is synthesised by coupling of pyrimidine and thiazole moieties in bacteria. The previously detected thiamin-regulatory element, thi box was extended, resulting in a new, highly conserved RNA secondary structure, the THI element, which is widely distributed in eubacteria and also occurs in some archaea. Lineage: Bacteria; Pseudomonadati; Pseudomonadota; Gammaproteobacteria; Enterobacterales; Enterobacteriaceae. The record is from RNAcentral.
UUUUUCUUGUCGGAGUGCCUAUAUUUCCACAAAAGCAUUCGCGAUGCCCUAAGAGGCGGCGCGAAGGAUGAAGUGGAAAAGGCUGAGACCGUUAAUUCGGGAUCCGCGGAACCUGAUCAGGUUAGAACCUGCGAAGGGAACAAGAGUAAUCCAUUC